RNAcentral lists this long non-coding RNA (396 nucleotides) under Ananas comosus (pineapple). Its description in RNAcentral is "long non-coding RNA (ACOM_LNC014380)". Lineage: Eukaryota; Viridiplantae; Streptophyta; Magnoliopsida; Poales; Bromeliaceae. The record is from RNAcentral.
CUCUGAUGUGCUUCGCAUUGCUUAUUUUGCAAAUUCCUAUCUGAAUAAAAUUGUUUGAAGAAGCAGUAACUAGUAAUUGUGAUUUAGUCAAAAUCGUAGAACAACCACUUAACCCAUAUACAAGAGCAGAAAUUUUGAUUUAAACUAAUGCUGUCAAUGGACACGAUAACCUUAAAACCAAUAACCGACUGUCCCUAGAGCAAGUGGCAAAGGACUUGAUGGUUGGUACUCGAAACCCAAGUUCGAAUCCUAGUUGAUUCACAUUUCCAGCGAAGUUUAUUUCUAAAUGAAAUAAACGAAGCGGGUAGCGUGCUACCUAAUCUCUCUCGAAAAAAAAAAAAAAACCCUUAAAACCAAUAUUUGAGAAUUCGAUCCAAAACAUAAUAAUUUCUUUUU